UCCCUGGUAGUCUAGUGGCUAGGAUUCAGUGCUUUCACCGCCGUGGCUGGGGUUCAAUUCCCGGUUAGGGAA
This is a transfer RNA of Ovis aries (sheep), 72 nucleotides long. It matches the Rfam family "tRNA". Rfam says of the family: Transfer RNA (tRNA) molecules are approximately 80 nucleotides in length. Their secondary structure includes four short double-helical elements and three loops (D, anti-codon, and T loops). Lineage: Eukaryota; Metazoa; Chordata; Mammalia; Artiodactyla; Bovidae. The record is from Rfam.